Long non-coding RNA from Brienomyrus brachyistius, 2154 nucleotides. RefSeq lists it as uncharacterized. NCBI's taxonomy places the organism in Eukaryota, Metazoa, Chordata, Actinopteri, Osteoglossiformes, Mormyridae. The record is from RefSeq and is a predicted model, not a curated record. The transcript has 4 exons.
AGGCAAACUUAAAGGAAAACGAGAUGAUCGCGUCACUCAAAGUCUGCAAACAGGGGCAAACAUCAAGCAAUGUCACGUUAACUCCUUGCACCUCGAACGAGUCGCUGAAUGGAAAUGUCAUGUGAGCAUCGACAAUCAUUUUCCCUACCAGGGAUUAGCGUGCUAUGGAAAAAUCCGUAACGACAGUCAAUAUCCAUUGAACUGACUGAUAGGUAUUUAAGACAGCAACAGCAAAUCAGAGGCGACUUCCUUGCUCCAAGAUGCGUUCUCCGCUUCAAGAGUCAGGCAAAUUCCAUAACAAACAAUUUCCUUGUCUUUCUCAACACCAUAGGAAAAAGAUUACUCUCACUUUUUGAAGAUCGUCACUAGGAUAAAACAAUCGUCCGUUCUCUGCAGGAAUGGCUACAGUAAGGGGAAAUGCGAGUAAUUCCUUGCAAACAAGAAGAUGGCGCUUCUGUCGAAGACCCAAUCAAUGAAAACUAAAAUUGUCUAAUCGGAUUGGGAUCACGGACAAAGUUAUAACGAGGAGAGCCGGUAAGAGAGCGAGGGCGUAUUAGGCAAAUGAUACGAAAUACUAACAUUCACGAUCGGGAAGGGGGGAGUCGGGGAGGAGAAGUCAUGAAAGAAGGAAAGAAAAUUGGUGUGUAACGAUAUUCCAGGCAAUAACAUGGUGGUACUCUUACUGUACUGUAUAUCUGGCUGUUCCAUCACACCUAUUUCCCCACACCACGUGACUAUAAGUCAGACAUUCUGUGUACGGACGCAAUGACAUUAAUUACUGUACCUUCAUUAAAAUCAGGAUACGGUUGAUCAGCCGAACUUAACGGAGCCUAAUACCCGCUAGUUUUGCAUCUUUGGGUUACCCUGCCAACUAAUUUCAACACAUGAGCUGAAGUUAUUUAGCUUUGAGUUAGAUGCCCAAUUGAAGACCGACAUGUGUGCAUAAUGUAAGGCUGAUUUAUACCUCUGCGUAGAAUCUACACCGUUGGUAUUGCAUAUGGUAUGUGGCGACCUACGGCUACGGAGAUUCUAUGCAGAGGUACCAAUCAGUCUUUACACAGGGAGGUGGCCAGACAGCAUCAGGUGAUAAUCAUGACUGUAAUAUAAAAAUGAUCAUCAUGUAAUUACACUCAAUUAUAAAUACAAUUACUAAGACAGUAGAAUUGUUGUAUAAUAUUGGGUAAAAGAGGAAAAAACUUAAACAAGAUGACAGACCCCAAAGCCUAACCCAAGCUGUUACGUUUUCACGAUCUAGGUUUGAAAUACCUCUAUUGUAGUUUCAUUCUUUCUAGCCUAUUUUGUCAAAUCUACCCUCUCUCCCACCCAUAAAUUUACUCCGUUCUCUCCUCCCAUUUCUGUAUCAUGUGCUUCUGUUUGCCGUCACACUUUGAGAAGAUCUUACAUUCAUUAAUAUUUCAGUUACUAUAUAACUACAGAGCGGACACCCGCAUGAAGAACACCUUGUGUAGUGUUUGCUUUCAGCCUUUCAGAAAGGAUAAGAUACGAGUACGGCCCCAGUCUGGGACGUGAAGUCACUACAUUCUGGUCAUGUUAAAUACUCCAGUACCAUAUAAAGUUGCCCCGCUCCCAGUAGUCUAGACAGCAUUUGUGAGUCGACCACUCAUGACACUGACACAUGUAGAGGUUACUGUCACUCGAUUUAGUCCCUGUGGGAUUUAGACUGAGAUCCAGCCCCCCAUUCAGCUAACAGAGGAAACCAACAGGACCCCACCAGCAUCGCCUCCUCCAUGCCUUCCACAUCGCCAAGGAGUUACUUUCUGUAAAAUAUGAGGGCAUUAUAAGUUCACCCACCCUCCACCACUUCCCUUCCUGUUGGAGGGGAUCAAGCGAUGGGAGGAAACCCAGAACCUGUCCCCCCCCCCAAUCAUUCCCAAAGGCCCUGGGAUUUAUCGUGAGACCACAGGAUGAAACACUUGACAGAAAUAUUAGCCCAUGCCGGUUUUAUCGCCCGGUGCCAUCGGAGCCCUGAUCGGUCCCAUCGCGGUGGUUUGUUUUGAUCUUUUUAUGAAGCGUUGCAGGAACGCGUGCCUGUGGGCAUCGGCUUUCCCUGUAAGACCACUAUGAUUCCCGCGGCCAGGGGGAGAUGUUAUCACAGCUGACUGCACUUUGCUGCCCCCCCCACCCCCACCCACC